UUGGAAGUAAAAGUCGUAACAAGGUUUCCGUAGGUGAACCUGCGGAAGGAUCAUUACCGAGUGAGGGCCCUCUGGGUCCAACCUCCCACCCGUGUUUAUUUUACCUUGUUGCUUCGGCGGGCCCGCCUUAACUGGCCGCCGGGGGGCUUACGCCCCCGGGCCCGCGCCCGCCGAAGACACCCUCGAACUCUGUCUGAAGAUUGUAGUCUGAGUGAAAAUAUAAAUUAUUUAAAACUUUCAACAACGGAUCUCUUGGUUCCGGCAUCGAUGAAGAACGCAGCGAAAUGCGAUACGUAAUGUGAAUUGCAAAUUCAGUGAAUCAUCGAGUCUUUGAACGCACAUUGCGCCCCCUGGUAUUCCGGGGGGCAUGCCUGUCCGAGCGUCAUUUCUGCCCUCAAGCACGGCUUGUGUGUUGGGCCCCGUCCUCCGAUCCCGGGGGACGGGCCCGAAAGGCAGCGGCGGCACCGCGUCCGGUCCUCGAGCGUAUGGGGCUUUGUCACCCGCUCUGUAGGCCCGGCCGGCGCUUGCCGAUCAACCCAAAUUUUUAUCCAGGUUGACCUCGGAUCAGGUAGGGAUACCCGCUGAACUUAAGCAUAUCAAUAAGCGGAGGAA
This 612-nucleotide non-coding RNA is filed under the name Penicillium chrysogenum. RNAcentral describes it as "eukaryotic LSU rRNA". The stretch from base 233 to 385 matches the Rfam family "5.8S ribosomal RNA". The record is from RNAcentral. RNAcentral also lists the same sequence under 1 other name. Lineage: Eukaryota; Fungi; Ascomycota; Eurotiomycetes; Eurotiales; Aspergillaceae.